RNAcentral lists this long non-coding RNA (1179 nucleotides) under Olea europaea (common olive). RNAcentral describes it as "long non-coding RNA (OEUR_LNC006517)". The record is from RNAcentral. Lineage: Eukaryota; Viridiplantae; Streptophyta; Magnoliopsida; Lamiales; Oleaceae.
UCAGAACAUUUUCUGGGUAUUGAGACAAUCAUGUCUCUUUUCGUAGCAGCAGCUUCAGUGCUUUCCUUCGCCAUCGGUAUACAUUCAGGCAAGCAAUCUCUUGUCUUUUGUAACACAAAUUCUUUUAGUCCAUCAAGUAUGAUUUACGUUUCUCCCAUCUCAUGUUAAUCAACUGAGUAGAUCGUAAUCUAAUUAUGUAAACUAGUCUAGGAUUGCUCCUGUUUCCCACUCCAAAGUAUGAAAUUAGUUUCUAUAUAUUUCAUUCCAGUCUCCACCAUUUAGUAUUAUUGCUAAUCCGCGUUGCUCUAAAAUCUUCAUCUCCAACCUCAACAAAACACCAUUUUUCCCUAGCAUCUAGCAAAUUUUUUUGGUAAAAGUCCUUUUUGCCCUUUUUUCCAUUUAGCAUCAAAUGAUAUCAAGGGUGUUUGAGUCAUUUUACAUUUUACAUAUAUUAUUAUUAUUAUUAUUAUUAUUAUUAUGAAUUAAAAUAAAAGUACUCAAAAAGUUUUAAAAUGUAACAAUCAUGAUUAUUUAAAUAAUAUGGUUUAAUAUUUUAUUAGUUGUGGUAUUUUUAUUAAUUGUGGUACUCGGUUGAUGAUUUUACUUUUCAACAUUCUAUUAAUAAUAAUAUAUUAUCCUUAUGUUAAACUAAAUAUAAUCAAAUUUUAAUAUACACUAAACAAGGCAUUAAUCAAGUUAAAUGUAAAAUUGUCCAUUAGGGACUCAAAUACAAACAUGGAAAUGGGAUUGUGCCCACCGGAUUAAUAGAUUAAGGAUCUACUUGGUAUAUUUCUAAUAGAAUGAGGAUUCGUACUAGAACUUCUUCAAUUGUCCACGUGAGUCGAAAGUGGAACUCCAUGUGCCUCCUUGCACACACUAGUAGUAAAGCAAAAUCCAAGCCCUGGGAUACUGACAACUGACAAGCUCUCCCUCCCACAUUCCUUACAAAUGCUUCCUAUAAACUCCCGUCUCUACUGCCUAGUUUCAUUGCUAAAAAAGUCUGUCUCAAGAUCUUGAAAUAAUCAUGUUCCCAGCUUUAGUGCUUUUCCUUGCCAUAGCUCGAAAUUUAGGCAAGCAAGCUCUAGUAUCCUGUUUUAUUGUCUUUUCUAGAGCUUAUUCUUUACUGUAAUUUUCAAAUUUUAUUUUGCAAAUGCUGCAUAUUAUUGCAUUUGCAAGCAC